Molecule: ribosomal RNA, 493 nt
Filed under: uncultured bacterium
Lineage: Bacteria
Description: partial 16S ribosomal RNA
Rfam family: Bacterial small subunit ribosomal RNA
Source: RNAcentral
GACGAACGCUGGCGGCGUGCUUAACACAUGCCAGUCGAACGGUGAAGCGCCUUCCUUUUGGUGGGUGUGGAUGAGUGGCGAAAGGGUGAGUAACACGUGAGUAACCUGCCCCCUUCUUCUGGAUAACCGCAUGAAAGUGUGGCUAAUACGGGAUAUUCUGGGUCUGUCGCAUGAUGGGUCUGGGAAAGAUAUUGUUUCGGUGGGGGAUGGGCUCGCGGCCUAUCAGCUUGUUGGUGGGGUGAUGGCCUACCAAGGCGGUGACGGGUAGCCGGCCUGAGAGGGUGGACGGUCACACUGGGACUGAGACACGGCCCAGACUCCUACGGGAGGCAGCAGUGGGGAAUAUUGCACAAUGGGCGCAAGCCUGAUGCAGCGACGCCGCGUGAGGGAUGGAGGCCUUCGGGUUGUGAACCUCUUUCGCCAGUGAAGCAGGCCUGCCUCGUUUGUGGGUGGGUUGACGGUAGCUGGAUAAGAAGCGCCGGCUAACUACGUG